RNAcentral lists this long non-coding RNA (528 nucleotides) under Marmota monax (woodchuck). The record is from RNAcentral. Lineage: Eukaryota; Metazoa; Chordata; Mammalia; Rodentia; Sciuridae.
AGAAAAACAGGUGAUAGAGAAAGAUGAGGAAAUGCCAUGAGGACCUAACAGGGCACCUCAACAGCAGGACAGCAAGCCCAGCACAGCCAUGGCCCUGAGCUCCAGGGCCACCUACCUGGCUGAACUCACCUCAGAGGAGGCUGUGCCUCGCCCAGAUGGCCAGGGAGUGUGGCCUGGCUAAGUCACCAGAAAGAGGAGGGUGGCGUCACCCCUGGUUUAGGAUGUUCACUUCACAGGGGACUGGAUGAGACAUGUCUGUUCACAGAUCCUCUGGGGCCCGGAGGACACUGCAGUUAGAGCUAAGGAAGCAGCAGAGCUCUCCGGGGCACAGCUCUGGGUCAUCCUCAUCCUGUCCUGUCUCCCUCUUUGUUCAACUCCAGACUUCAGCAAUGUUAACAGUCCUCUCCACUCUCACACUGUCUACAACACCUGACCAGUGACAUGUAGGAGGAGUUAGUCUGGAUUGGUUUAUCAAACAUACCCUGUGUGUGUGUGUGUGUGUGUGUACUUGUGAGAUCUUCAAGUGGA